RNAcentral lists this RNase P RNA (333 nucleotides) under human gut metagenome. Its description in RNAcentral is "Bacterial RNase P class B". It matches the Rfam family "Bacterial RNase P class B". From Rfam's summary of the family: Ribonuclease P (RNase P) is a ubiquitous endoribonuclease, found in archaea, bacteria and eukarya as well as chloroplasts and mitochondria. Its best characterised activity is the generation of mature 5'-ends of tRNAs by cleaving the 5'-leader elements of precursor-tRNAs. Cellular RNase Ps are ribonucleoproteins. The record is from RNAcentral.
GACAAACGCUGCAAUAAAAUUGUAGAGGAAAGUCCAUGCUCGCACUAUCUGUGAUGAUAGUAGUGUUCGUGCAUUGGGAAAAAAUAACCAAUGGUAGUUUAUACUAACGGCGUUGAGGCAACCUAAGUCAUUGAUAUGGUUGUAUUAGACAUAAAGUGCCAAAGAGACGAUACUCUUUAGAAAUAAAGAGAGUGGAACGCGGUAAACCCCACGAGCGAGAAACCCAAAUUUUGGUAGGGGAGCCCAAUAAAAAUAAUUAAGAAUUUUUUAGGGAUUGAUUUAUUCAAUAGAUAAAUGUUUGUCGCUUUUUUAAGUACAGAACAUGGCUUAUAA